CCUGGUGGCUCAGCGGUUAAAGCAUCUGCCUGCAAUGCGGGAGACCUGGGUUCGAUCCCUGGGUCAGGA
RNAcentral lists this transfer RNA (69 nucleotides) under Bos taurus (domestic cattle). It matches the Rfam family "tRNA". From Rfam's summary of the family: Transfer RNA (tRNA) molecules are approximately 80 nucleotides in length. Their secondary structure includes four short double-helical elements and three loops (D, anti-codon, and T loops). Lineage: Eukaryota; Metazoa; Chordata; Mammalia; Artiodactyla; Bovidae. RNAcentral also lists the same sequence under 2 other names. The record is from Rfam by way of RNAcentral.